This 253-nucleotide ribosomal RNA is filed under the name uncultured bacterium. RNAcentral's name for it is "partial 16S ribosomal RNA". It matches the Rfam family "Bacterial small subunit ribosomal RNA", at positions 524 to 776 of the family's 1533-position model. The record is from RNAcentral.
UACGUAGGGCGCAAGCGUUGUCCGGAAUUACUGGGCGUAAAGCGUGCGCAGGCGGUUCGUCGUGUCCGAUGUGAAAGCCCCGGGCUCAACCUGGGAAUGGCAUUGGAAACUGGCGGACUCGAGUGUGGCAGAGGGGGGUGGAAUUCCGCGUGUAGCAGUGAAAUGCGUAGAGAUGCGGAGGAACACCGAUGGCGAAGGCAGCCCCCUGGGCUAACACUGACGCUCAGGCACGAAAGCGUGGGGAGCAAACAGG